UACGUAGGGAGCAAGCGUUGUCCGGAUUUACUGGGUGUAAAGGGUGCGUAGGCGGCUUUGCAAGUCAGAUGUGAAAUCUAUGGGCUCAACCCAUAGCCUGCAUUUGAAACUGCAGAGCUUGAGUGAAGUAGAGGCAGGCGGAAUUCCCCGUGUAGCGGUGAAAUGCGUAGAGAUGGGGAGGAACACCAGUGGCGAAGGCGGCUUACUGGACUGACAAUGACGCUGAAGCUCGAAAGUGCGGGUAUCGAACAGG
RNAcentral lists this ribosomal RNA (253 nucleotides) under Ruminococcus bromii. Its description in RNAcentral is "partial 16S ribosomal RNA". It matches the Rfam family "Bacterial small subunit ribosomal RNA", at positions 524 to 776 of the family's 1533-position model. Lineage: Bacteria; Bacillati; Bacillota; Clostridia; Eubacteriales; Oscillospiraceae. The record is from RNAcentral.